UCGCGGCGGUGAGCGCAGAAGGGUCUGGGCUCGAGCCUGCCCGGAGCCGCCGCCGGUGCAGAUCUUGGUGGUAGUAGCAAAUACUCCAGCGAGGCCCUGGAGGACUGAUGUGGAGAAGGGUUUCGUGUGAACAGCCGUUGCACACGAGUCAGUCGAUCCUAAGCCCUAGGAGAAAUCCGAUGCCAACGGCGAUGGGAAAUCAGACGAAACGAACGAAAGCGGCCCAUUGAUCGGGCGAAAGGGAAUCCGGUUCCUAUUCCGGAACCCGGCAGCGGAACCGUUGUUUGUCGGGCCCUCACAAGGGGUUCGUCAGGGUAACCUAAAAGGGCCCGGAGACGCCGUCGGGAGCCCCGGAAAGAGUUUUCUUUUCUGCAUGAGCGUUCGAGUUCCCUGGAAUCCUCUCGCAGGGAGAUAGGGUUUGGAACGCGAAGAGCACCGCAGUUGCGGCGGUGCCCGGGAAUUCCCGACGGACCUUGAAAAUCCGGGAGAGGGCCACGUGGAGGUGUCGCGCCGGCUCGUACCCAUAUCCGCAGCAGGUCUCCAAGGUGAAGAGCCUCUAGUCGAUAGAAUAAUGUAGGUAAGGGAAGUCGGCAAAUCGGAUCCGUAACUUCGGG
This 614-nucleotide ribosomal RNA is filed under the name Petalura gigantea. RNAcentral's name for it is "partial 28S ribosomal RNA". It matches the Rfam family "Eukaryotic large subunit ribosomal RNA", at positions 1389 to 1940 of the family's 3401-position model. The record is from RNAcentral. Lineage: Eukaryota; Metazoa; Arthropoda; Insecta; Odonata; Petaluridae.